RNAcentral lists this ribosomal RNA (465 nucleotides) under uncultured bacterium. RNAcentral describes it as "partial 16S ribosomal RNA". It matches the Rfam family "Bacterial small subunit ribosomal RNA", at positions 28 to 507 of the family's 1533-position model. The record is from RNAcentral.
GAUGAACGCUGGCGGCGUGCUUAACACAUGCAAGUCGAACGGAAAGGCUCCUGCUUGCAGGGGUACUCGAGUGGCGAACGGGUGAGUAACACGGGGGUGAUCUGCCCUGCACUUCGGGAUAAGCCUGGGAAACUGGGUCUAAUACCGGAUAGGACGAUGGUUUGGAUGCCAUUGUGGAAAGUUUUGCGGUGUGGGAUGAGCUCGCGGCCUAUCAGCUUGUUGGUGGGGUAAUGGCCUACCAAGGCGUCGACGGGUAGCCGGCCUGAGAGGGUGUACGGCCACAUUGGGACUGAGAUACGGCCCAGACUCCUACGGGAGGCAGCAGUGGGGAAUAUUGCACAAUGGGCGCAAGCCUGAUGCAGCGACGCCGCGUGGGGGAUGACGGCCUUCGGGUUGUAAACUCCUUUCGCUAGGGACGAAGCGCAAGUGACGGUACCCGGAGAAGAAGCACCGGCUAACUACGUG